GGAGGUACUUCCUAUCUGGUGAUGGGCCUGGUCUUCAAAACCAGCUGAACCGUAAUGAGAAUUGGGGUUGGUGGGUUCGAUUCCCAUGUACCUCCGCCA
This 99-nucleotide transfer RNA is filed under the name Acidobacteriota bacterium. RNAcentral describes it as "Acidobacteria bacterium tRNA-Sec". It matches the Rfam family "Selenocysteine transfer RNA". RNAcentral also lists the same sequence under 1 other name. The record is from RNAcentral. Lineage: Bacteria; Pseudomonadati; Acidobacteriota.